Molecule: transfer RNA, 78 nt
Filed under: Roseibium sp. RKSG952
Lineage: Bacteria; Pseudomonadati; Pseudomonadota; Alphaproteobacteria; Hyphomicrobiales; Stappiaceae
Description: tRNA-Arg
Rfam family: tRNA
About the family: Transfer RNA (tRNA) molecules are approximately 80 nucleotides in length.
Source: RNAcentral
GGUCGCGUAGCUCAGCUGGAUUAGAGUGUUUGCCUACGAAGCAAAAAGCCGCAGGUUCGAGUCCUGCCGCGAUCACCA